Molecule: ribosomal RNA, 437 nt
Filed under: uncultured Oscillospiraceae bacterium
Lineage: Bacteria; Bacillati; Bacillota; Clostridia; Eubacteriales; Oscillospiraceae
Description: bacterial SSU rRNA
Rfam family: Bacterial small subunit ribosomal RNA
Source: RNAcentral
ACGGGAGGCAGCAGUGGGGAAUAUUGGGCAAUGGGCGCAAGCCUGACCCAGCAACGCCGCGUGAAGGAAGAAGGCUUUCGGGUUGUAAACUUCUUUUACCAGGGACGAAGGACGUGACGGUACCUGGAGAAAAAGCCACGGCUAACUACGUGCCAGCAGCCGCGGUAAUACGUAGGUGGCAAGCGUUGUCCGGAUUUAUUGGGUUUAAAGGGUGCGUAGGCGGACUGACAAGUCAGGGGUGAAAGCCCGGUGCUCAACACCGGAACUGCCCUUGAUACUGCCAGCCUUGAAUUCGGAUGCCGUGGGAGGAAUGAGUAGUGUAGCGGUGAAAUGCAUAGAUAUUACUCAGAACACCGAUUGCGAAGGCAUCUCACGAAUCCGACAUUGACGCUGAGGCACGAAAGCGUGGGGAUCAAACAGGAUUAGAUACCCUGGUA